CCAUCGAUGUCGACAGAGUUUGAUCCUGGCUCAGAGCGAACGCUGGCGGCAGGCCUAACACAUGCAAGUCGAGCGCCCGUAGCAAUACGGGAGCGGCAGACGGGAGAGUAACACGUGGGAACGCGCCCUUCGGUUCGGAAUAACUCAGGGAAACUUGAGCUAAUACCGGAUACGCCCUUACGGGGAAAGAUUUAUUGCCGAAGGAACGGCCCGCGUCCGAUUAGCUUGUUGGUGAGGUAAUGGCUCACCAAGGCGACGAUCGGUAGCUGGUCUGAGAGGAUGACCAGCCUCACUGGGACUGAGACACGGNCCAGACUCCUACGGGAGGCAGCAGUGGGGAAUAUUGGACAAUGGGCGCAAGCCUGAUCCA
This 370-nucleotide ribosomal RNA is filed under the name eubacterial soil DNA clone S-47. RNAcentral's name for it is "bacterial SSU rRNA". It matches the Rfam family "Bacterial small subunit ribosomal RNA", at positions 1 to 390 of the family's 1533-position model. The record is from RNAcentral.